This 550-nucleotide ribosomal RNA is filed under the name uncultured fungus. RNAcentral's name for it is "eukaryotic LSU rRNA". The stretch from base 186 to 339 matches the Rfam family "5.8S ribosomal RNA". The record is from RNAcentral. Lineage: Eukaryota; Fungi.
AAGUCGUAACAAGGUCUCCGUUGGUGAACCAGCGGAGGGAUCAUUACUGAGUACUACACUCUCUACCCUUUGUGAACUAUUAUACCUGUUGCUUCGGCGGCGCCCGCAAGGGUGCCCGCCGGUCUCAUCAGAAUCUCUGUUUUCGAACCCGACGAUACUUCUGAGUGUUCUUAGCGAACUGUCAAAACUUUUAACAACGGAUCUCUUGGCUCCAGCAUCGAUGAAGAACGCAGCGAAACGCGAUAUGUAAUGUGAAUUGCAGAAUUCAGUGAAUCAUCGAAUCUUUGAACGCACAUGGCGCCUUCCAGUAUCCUGGGAGGCAUGCCUGUCCGAGCGUCGUUUCAACCCUCGAGCCCCUGUGGCCCGGCGUUGGGGAUCUGCCACGGCAGGCCCCUAAAACCAGUGGCGGACCCGAAGGGCCCUCUCCUUUGCGCAGUAGCAUUCGCCUCGCGUCGGGAGUCCUCGGCGUCCUGCCUCUAAACCCCCACAAGCCCGCUUCGGCGGCACCAAGGUUGACCUCGGAUCAGGUAGGAAUACCCGCUGAACUUAA